RNAcentral lists this ribosomal RNA (393 nucleotides) under uncultured bacterium. RNAcentral describes it as "partial 16S ribosomal RNA". It matches the Rfam family "Bacterial small subunit ribosomal RNA", at positions 338 to 729 of the family's 1533-position model. The record is from RNAcentral.
CCUACGGGGGGCAGCAGUGAGGAAUAUUGGUCAAUGGCCGAGAGGCUGAACCAGCCAAGUAGCGUGAGGGAUGACGGCCCUACGGGUUGUAAACUUCUUUUGUCGGGGAGUAAAGUGAGGCACGUGUGACUUUUUGUAUGUACUCUAUGAAAAAGGAUCGGCUAACUCCGUGCCCGCAGCCGCGGUAAUACGGAGGAUGCGAGCGUUAUCCGGAUUUAUUGGGUUUAAAGGGGUCGAAAGGGGAUGUGAAAGCCAGUGGUCAAAUUGGGGGGCCCAACCUAGUACUGCAGUUGAAACUGGAUCCCUUGAGUGCACUAGAGGUAGGCGGAAUGCGUGGUGUAGCGGUGAAAUGCAUAGAGAUCACGCAGAACUCCGAUUGCGAAGGCAGCAUAC